Molecule: ribosomal RNA, 887 nt
Filed under: uncultured bacterium
Lineage: Bacteria
Description: bacterial SSU rRNA
Rfam family: Bacterial small subunit ribosomal RNA
Source: RNAcentral
UAACCUGGGAAUGNCCCCUGUNCUGUAUAGCUAGANNNGUCAGGAGGGGGGUAGAUUCCCACGCNUAGCAGUGAAUGCGUAGAUAUNUGGAGGAAUACCAAUGGCGAAGGCAGCCCCCUGGGAUAACACUGACGCUCCAUGCACGAAAGCGUGGGGAGCAAACAGGAUUAGAUACCCUUGGUAGUCCCCGCCNUAAACGAUGCUGACUAGUUGUUCGGGAUUUACAUCCUGAGUAACGUAGCUAACGCGUGAAGUCAGCCGCCUGGGGAGUACGGUCGCAAGAUUAAAACUCAAAGGAAUUGACGGGGACCCGCACAAGCGGUGGAUGAUGUGGAUUAAUUCGAUGCAACGCGAAAAACCUUACCUACCCUUGACAUGUCACUAACGAAGUAGAGAUACAUUAGGUGCUCGUAAGAGAAAGUGAACACAGGUGCUGCAUGGCUGUCGUCAGCUCGUGUCGUGAGAUGUUGGGUUAAGUCCCGCAACGAGCGCAACCCUUGUCUUUAGUUGCUACGCAAGAGCACUCUAAAGAGACUGCCGGUGACAAACCGGAGGAAGGUGGGGAUGACGUCAAGUCCUCAUGGCCCUUAUGGGUAGGGCUUCACACGUCAUACAAUGGUGCAUACAGAGGGUUGCCAACCCGCGAGGGGGAGCUAAUCUCAGAAAAUGCAUCGUAGUCCGGAUCGUAGUCUGCAACUCGACUACGUGAAGCUGGAAUCGCUAGUAAUCGCGGAUCAGAAUGUCGCGGUGAAUACGUUCCCGGGUCUUGUACACACCGCCCGUCAUACCAUGGGAGUGGGUUUUGCCAGAAGCCGUUAGCCUAACCGCAAGGAGGGCGACUGCCACGGCAGGGUUCAUGACUGGGGUAAAGUCGUAACAAGGUAACC